UACCUCAAAUAACCACAACAGUCUGUUUCAUCCGUAUAGGACCUGAUGAUUCCUAUACGGAUGAAACAGACUGUUGUGGUUAUU
Molecule: microRNA precursor, 84 nt
Filed under: Paramuricea clavata
Lineage: Eukaryota; Metazoa; Cnidaria; Anthozoa; Malacalcyonacea; Plexauridae
Source: RNAcentral